Molecule: non-coding RNA, 21 nt
Organism: Caenorhabditis elegans
Lineage: Eukaryota; Metazoa; Nematoda; Chromadorea; Rhabditida; Rhabditidae
Source: Ensembl
UUCAAGAUCUGAGAGUUCUAA